CACAUGCAAGUCGAACGAACAAUUCCUAAAUAGUCUCUGACUAUUUAGAUAGUUGUUAGUGGCAGACGGGUGAGUAAUGCGUAGGAAUCUACCUAGUAGUAUGGAAUAGCCAUUAGAAAUGAUGGGUAAUACUGUAUAAUCCCUGCGGGGGAAAGAUUUAUCGCUAUUAGAUGAGCCUACGUUAGAUUAGCUAGUUGGUAAGGUAAUGGCUUACCAAGGCUAUGAUCUAUAGCUGGUCUGAGAGGACGAUCAGCCACACUGGAACUGAGAUACGGUCCAGACUCCUACGGGAGGCAGCAGUGGGGAAUAUUGGACAAUGGGCGAAAGCCUGAUCCAGCUAUGCCGCGUGAGUGAAGAAGGCCUUCGGGUUGUAAAGCUCUUUCAAUAGGGAAGAUAAUGACGGUACCUAUAGAAGAAGUCCCGGCAAACUCUGUGCCAGCAGCC
Molecule: ribosomal RNA, 444 nt
Filed under: Ehrlichia ewingii
Lineage: Bacteria; Pseudomonadati; Pseudomonadota; Alphaproteobacteria; Rickettsiales; Anaplasmataceae
Description: bacterial SSU rRNA
Rfam family: Bacterial small subunit ribosomal RNA
Source: RNAcentral